RNAcentral lists this long non-coding RNA (1053 nucleotides) under Nicotiana benthamiana. RNAcentral's name for it is "long non-coding RNA (NBEN_LNC017587)". The record is from RNAcentral. Lineage: Eukaryota; Viridiplantae; Streptophyta; Magnoliopsida; Solanales; Solanaceae.
UCUAGACUUGUGUUACUUAGCAGCAGGAAAUUACAACGAAAAUCUAAUUAUUGACAUCAUGUUUAAUCUAAUUUUAAACCUAUAUCACUAUGAGUCAUGCACUUUUGAUUUCAUCUCAAUACAGAAACCUUGCACAUCUAAAAGAGGUCCAAAAACUCAAAUGCAUACAUCCAUUUAUCUAGAGUACCCAUAGACUGAUGCCAAUCAUGCCAAUACUCAUAACAUCUUGCUUCAAAAAAAAAAGCAAACGAUCAGUCUUUUCAAUUGAAUACAUUAUGAUUCUCAAAUAAAAAUAAAUGAUAAGAUAGGGAUCAAAGUAAAGUAGUCUAAACACAUGAUUGACUACAUGCAUAAUAAACACUGAAUUUCUUAAAUCACAGUCCCUAUACACAGGACUUCAGAUGUCCUGAACUACUUACAUACCAACCAAACCAUCAGAUCAUGUGUUUUUAUCACAAAUUAAAAUGCAACAUGAAUUUCUAGGGAAUAACACACUAUAUCAAAAUGAACAAGUCAAGUUAAAUAUUAUUACACUACGUCAAUAGCUUCAGAAACUCUAAGUAAAAAUGCUAGCAUUGAUGAUUAAAAAAAAGUAUUCAUUCAUUCAUGGAAUCUUCAUGUGAUUAUUGCUCUCACACUUGUAUAUCAUCCUCUAUAGGAUCAAGGAAUACCUGGAAGUAAAUGACAAAAGGAAGAAUCAACAGUAAUGAUAGUAGGGAGUCAACAACAGGUUCCAGUAAGGAGUGUAAACCAUCAAAAGGAAUUUCAAACCCAAAAAUGAGGUGUUGCAACCCAGAAAUUAGUUUCAAACACAAAGUUAAACCAUCAGACCUCAAAGCCCAACCUUAAUGACUGAAUCUCAAACCAUUUCCAAGUCUAAACAAUCAGGGAAUUGGUUCAGGUAGAUGAGAUGAGAAAUUCAAAUUACUAAACUAAAGCUCAAUGGAACAGUCUUUUACUGCAGGGUGUUGCAGCUAUUUUUCUUGAUUUUUAUGAUAUUUUUGGCUCUUGAAACCUCUCAAUUUUGCAGAAUUUUUUUGCUCUUUUAAAAUC